GACGAACGCUGGCGGCGUGCCUAACACAUGCGAGUCGAACGGAAAGGCCCUGCUUUCGUGGGGUGCCCGAGUGGCGAACAGGUGAGUAACACGUGAGUAACCUGCCCUUGACUUUGGGAUAACUUCAGGAAACUGGGGCUAAUACCGGAUAGGAGCUCCCGCUGCAUGGUGGGGGUUGGAAAGUUUCGGCGGUUGGGGAUGGACUCGCGGCUUAUCAGCUUGUUGGUGGGGUAGUGGCUUACCAAGGCGUUGACGGGUAGCCGGCCUGAGAGGGUGACCGGCCACGUUGGGCCUGGGGUAGGGCCCAGACUCGUACGGGAGGCAGUGGUGGGGAGUAUUGCACAAUGGGCCGAAGCCUGAGGCGGCAACGCUGGGUGCGGAAUGCCGUCCUUCGGGUUAUGAACCGCUUUCGCCUGUGACGAAGCGUGUGUGACGGUAAUGAGUAAAGAAGCACCGGCUAACUACGUG
Molecule: ribosomal RNA, 468 nt
Filed under: uncultured bacterium
Lineage: Bacteria
Description: partial 16S ribosomal RNA
Rfam family: Bacterial small subunit ribosomal RNA
Source: RNAcentral